UACAGAGGUCUCAAGCGUUGUUCGGAUUCAUUGGGCGUAAAGGGUGCGUAGGCGGCGCGGUAAGUCGGGUGUGAAAUCUCGGAGCUUAACUCCGAAACUGCAUUCGAUACUGCCGUGCUUGAGGACUGGAGAGGAGACUGGAAUUUACGGUGUAGCGGUGAAAUGCGUAGAUAUCGUAAGGAAGACCAGUGGCGAAGGCGGGUCUCUGGACAGUUCCUGACGCUGAGGCGCGAAAGCUGGGGGAGCAAACCGG
RNAcentral lists this ribosomal RNA (253 nucleotides) under uncultured bacterium. RNAcentral describes it as "partial 16S ribosomal RNA". It matches the Rfam family "Bacterial small subunit ribosomal RNA", at positions 524 to 776 of the family's 1533-position model. The record is from RNAcentral.